CCUACGGGAGGCAGCAGCAAGGAAUUUCCCGCAAUGGGCGCAAGCCUGACGGAGCAACGCCGCGUGGGGGAGGACGCCCUUCGGGGUGUAAACCCCUUUUCUUGGGGACGAAAACACUGACGGUACCCGAGGAAGAAGGCCCGGCUAACUACGUGCCACCAGCCGCGGUAAUACGUAGGGGCCGAGCGUUGUCCGGAGUUACUGGGCGUAAAGCGCGCGCAGGCGGCGCACUUUGCCCGGCGUGAAAGCCCCCGGCUCAACCGGGGAGGGUCGUCGGGGACGGGUGCGCUUGAGGACUUUGGGGGCAGGUGGAAUUCCCGGUGUAGUGGUGAAAUGCGUAGAGAUCGGGAGGAAUUUACAAUCCUGAGCGAGCGGUUGUGUCGAUAUUGACCCUCACCUUAAAGAUGAUGGGAACCACUCGAUUAUAUACCCGGGUUGUCCACCCCUACACUAUCCGACCCAACGUGGUUGAAGUCGAUGUGAA
RNAcentral lists this ribosomal RNA (484 nucleotides) under uncultured bacterium. RNAcentral describes it as "bacterial SSU rRNA". It matches the Rfam family "Bacterial small subunit ribosomal RNA", at positions 338 to 850 of the family's 1533-position model. The record is from RNAcentral.